GACGAACGCUAGCGGCGUGCCUAAGCUAUGCAAGUCGAGCGGGGUUUCAGAGUCGAGUUUCCUUCGGGAGACAAAGCACUGAAACCUAGCGGCGAACGGGUGAGUAACACGUGAGCAACCUACCCUGUUGUCUGGGAUAACAGACCGAAAGGCCUGCUAAUACCGGAUACGAAGCUCCUUCGCAUGUUGGAGCUUGGAAAGGGGCAACCCGCAAUGGGAGGGGCUUACGGCCUAUCAGCUAGUUGGUGAGGUAACGGCCCACCAAGGCGACGACGGGUAGCCGACCUGAGAGGGUGACCGGCCACACUGGGACUGAGACACGGCCCAGACUCCUACGGGAGGCAGCAAGCGGGAAUCUUGCACAAUGGGCGCAAGCCUGAUGCAGCGACGCCGCGUGAGGGAUGAAGGCCUUCGGGUCGUAAACCUCUGUUGAUGGGGACGAAGAUCUGAC
This 451-nucleotide ribosomal RNA is filed under the name uncultured bacterium. RNAcentral's name for it is "bacterial SSU rRNA". It matches the Rfam family "Bacterial small subunit ribosomal RNA", at positions 28 to 457 of the family's 1533-position model. The record is from RNAcentral.